GUAACGGCAGCACCGCAACAAGCCGUCCUGGAGAGAGAGAGAGAGCGUAGCCGCAGCAAAAACACUUUCCUUACCUGUUCGAUUUUUGUUGUUACCUGUUGGACAAUACUGAGAUCUGUCUGUUUCCAGAUGUGUUGUAAGUGUGUGUUUUUUUGUCCUGACACUCGCUGUUAAGUCAAUGAAAAAACGAGCCUCGUCUCAGCUGACUUCACCUCCUCAUGGCCCACAGCCAGACUCCACCACGACAGGACACCUUUGUAUGGAUCCUUGAAGCCUUCAUCCAUCCUGAUGCCCCUCAACCCUCGUCGAUCGGUGUCGUGUUUCAGACGAGUCACAUGGAACUCCGGCUUUGGAGAGUUUGGGAUGUUUUCUUUGUUGAGGGAGAAGAGGCCGCCCAGAAAUUGAGAUAGAAAGAGAGCAGAUUGAAUUUCUGCUGAAACAAGGGCAUAUAAUUGCUAAAUGUGCAGAACUACUGGGAUGCUCCGCAUCAUAUCUUUACAAAAAAUCCAAGAUCAUGGGUAUACCUGCCACAAGUAUGCGGUCUGCAAUAAAUGACACAGAGCUUGAACAUCAAGUGAGGCAACUUCAGUGCCAGUAUUCUAACUCUGGAAAUGAGAUGAUAAGAGACCUGUUGCGCACACAGGGUGUGUUCGUUACACGGUCCAGGGUGCGUGAGACAUUAGCUCGGGUAAAUCCUGCUGCUGCUGCAAGAAGAUGGAGCCAGACAGUUGCAAGGCGUGUUUAUCAUGUACCAUACCCCAUCAGUCUAUGGCACAUUGAUGGGAACAUGCGUCUCAUAAGGUUAUUAUUACCAGACCUGUCAUACUUUUUUAUAAUUGGAAAAGAUUUUCAACAAGUGUUACUCAAAUAACUCAAUAAUAUAAUCUUUUUCAAGUAUUUUUUUUGUAUCUGUCACGAAUAGGACAGGUGUGAACCCAUGCAGCAGGCAGACAGACAGGCAGGUGAUUUGAAGAAAACAAGGUUUAAUUAAUUAAACUGAAAUAAACACGCAAAAUGCAGAAGCACAGGAACAAACAGAAAGGUAAUGAAAACUAAACUAAAAGCGACGAACCAAAUCGGCCGUGGUGAGAAUUAAAUAAGAUACAGAACCAAGGGCGGACCCGAAGGCCAAGGAAAAACUAAACAUAAAUCAAAACUAACCUAAGAGGUAACUCACAAAAAGUCCAGCCAUCGGGAGACGGAGUCGGAGGGGGGCAGAGACUGAGAAGCAGACGGGGGAUUGGGUGCAAACGGAGCAGAGGUAAUUACAGGCGAGUCAGACACAAACAUCCAGGAAGUGGGAGAUGCAUAGCGGAGAAUAGUCCAAACGGAACAGACAGAGUCCAAGCAGGAUGGCUGACAGAGGAGCGCGUUCAUGAGCGGGGAGAGUAGUCCAAUGCUGCAGCGCUGAACAGAGUCUAGAGCCAGGCUUUAAGCAGCGCUGAUUAAAGAUUGCUGCUGGCUGCACACACCGCGCAGCCGCUCGUCAUGAAAUUAACGAGCCGGCUCAUUGCAUCAAGAAGGGUGUGACAGUAUCUUUUUUAGGUGGGGCUUUGUGACUCAUGGUGCUAUUGAUGGAUACUCCCGUCUGAUCAUGUACCUUAAUUGCAGCACGGACAACCGUGCCACAACAGUGCUUUCACAUUUUUUGAAAGCAACAUGCCUCUACAGUCUACCAUCAAGAGUCCGAUCUGACCAUGGUGGUGAAAACAUCCAUGUGGCUUUAUUCAUGCAUCUUGUUCAAGGACUUGAACACAGAGGUGUAAUAACUGGGGAAUCAGUGCACAAUCAGAGAAUUGAGUGCCUUUGGCGUGAUGUAUUUUUGCAUGUAUUGCAGCACUUUUACCUUUUGUUCUACGCCUUCGAGGACUUAGACAUCCUUAACCCAGAUAAUGAUGUCCACAGACAAGCACUACAGAUUGUUUAUCAUCCUGAGAUUCAAAACAGACUAGAGCACUUUAGACGUGCCUGGAACCUCCAUCCACUGCGAACAGAAAAUAAUCGCACACCAAAUCAGCUCUGGACAGAGGGCAUGCUUACAAACAUUGCGACAGAAAGCACGGCUGUCAACAAUGUUUUUGGGGAAAAUCCCUACAGCGAACAAAACAUUGACACCAUUCUAGAGCAGAAUGGAAUUCAAACACUGCCUGCUCUUGAUGAGGAAGAGUUCCCAGCUGUAAAUGUAGAACCACCUCAACUCAUCCUCACUCAGCAACAACAGAGAAAUGUGCAGAAUGCAAUUCAAGACAUUUCUGAUCCAAAGACAAAAUAUCAGUCUUGCUGUGCUGAGAUUAUCAGUAUUUUGCAAAUGUAAGUACACUCCAAUUCCAAGCUCAAAGCUAAAGUGUAUUGUUUGUAUCCAUUUCAUUCCAUAUUCAUUGCUAAAAUAUGUUUGGUGUGCAGCUAAAGCUGAUGAAUGAAAAGUAUGCUGGCUUUGAGAUUGGCAGUCAACCAGCUUUGGGAGUAGUUUUAAGCAUUUGAGGUCAACAGUAUUUUUUCAUUGUUGUUUUGUCAUGUGAUUCGUCUCCUUGAACUGUGUUACAGGUGGUUGGGUGUGUUGUCGAAAUGUAUGGCUAACAAACUAUUUGUACUGUUUCUAAAUUUACUUACUGUUUGUAUUUACUAACUUUUGGCGACUUGAGGGCUGAUGUUGAUCUGAUGAUGAGAAGGCAGUGCAGGUUUAAGCUCUGAGUAACAACAGCUGCAGUUGUCUGUAAAUUCUGUUGCUAUUACCAAGCUGUUUCUUGAUUGUUUUUGUAUGCACACAAAAACAUAUAGGCCUACAUGAAUGAAUUCACCAACAUAUUUGAUAACAGAUUUCAUACACAAAGAGCCAGGAAUUAAAGAAAUCAGUAUUUUCUGAAACCGCAUUCUGUUACUACACCACAUACAUUUACUGUUUUCAAUAAAAAGCACUUUUUUGUCUGCAAUUUCACGUCAUAAUUCUGGUGACAGUGGAGCAUGGUCCAGAGUUGGAUGCUUGUGGCUGAGGUGUGAACAGUUGGGGGGAGCUGCAUUGAAGAGGUACACACAAUAAAAUGUGUUCUGAAACACUA
This is a long non-coding RNA of Acanthochromis polyacanthus (spiny chromis), 3056 nucleotides long. RefSeq lists it as uncharacterized. Lineage: Eukaryota; Metazoa; Chordata; Actinopteri; Pomacentridae. The transcript is spliced from 4 exons. The record is from RefSeq and is a predicted model, not a curated record.